This is a long non-coding RNA of Euleptes europaea (tarantolino), 404 nucleotides long. RefSeq lists it as uncharacterized. Lineage: Eukaryota; Metazoa; Chordata; Lepidosauria; Squamata; Sphaerodactylidae. The record is from RefSeq and is a predicted model, not a curated record. The transcript is spliced from 4 exons.
CAAGCAAGCAAGCACUCUCUACCAUGUCGGGAAGAGACGGUGGCAAGAAAAAGCCCUUGAAGCAACCAAAAAAGCAAUCAAAGGAAAUGGAUGAGGAAGACCGAGCUUUCAAGCAAAAACAGAAGGAGGAGCAGAAGAAGCUGGACGAGCUGAAGGCCAAAGCUGCUGGGAAGGGCCCGCUUACUGGAGGUGGUAUUAAGAAGUCUGGUAAGAAGUAGCAGGUUGGAUGGACGACAUGGCAAGUGAAGCAUUUUGUUCCCCUUGGACGCUUGGCAGCGGGACAGAACUCAUGUUGUAGGAUAUGUUAAUUUGUGCACCUUUGUACUUUUUGUUCAAACAAAAUAAAUGGGGGGUUGGUUGGUUAAUGACUGUUCUCUCUUCACCUUCAGCAUGUGUUAUUACCA